CGAACGGGUGAGUAACACGUGGGCAACCUUUCCUAUCGCGGGGGAUAACACCGGGAAACCGAUGCUAAUACCGCAUGUCGUCACUGGUCGCGUGGCUGGUGAAGAAAGCAGCAAUGCACGAUGGGGUGGGCCCGCGGCCUAUCAGCUAGUCGGUGGGGUAACGGCCUACCGAGGCGAUGACGGGUAGCUGGUCUGAGAGGACGGCCAGCCACACGGGGACUGAGACACGGCCCCG
This 235-nucleotide ribosomal RNA is filed under the name uncultured bacterium. Its description in RNAcentral is "partial 16S ribosomal RNA". It matches the Rfam family "Bacterial small subunit ribosomal RNA", at positions 99 to 334 of the family's 1533-position model. The record is from RNAcentral.